AGAGUUUGAUCCUGGCUCAGAUUGAACGCUGGCGGCAGGCCUAACACAUGCAAGUCGAACGGUAACAGGAAGAAGCUUGCUUCUUUGCUGACGAGUGGCGGACGGGUGAGUAAUGUCUGGGAAACUGCCUGAUGGAGGGGGAUAAUUACUGGAAACGGUAGCUAAUACCGCAUAACGUCGCAAGACCAAAGAGGGGGACCUUCGGGCCUCUUGCCAUCGGAUGUGCCCAGAUGGGAUUAGCUAGUAGGUGGGGUAACGGCUCACCUAGGCGACGAUCCCUAGCUGGUCUGAGAGGAUGACCAGCCACACUGGAACUGAGACACGGUCCAGACUCCUACGGGAGGCAGCAGUGGGGAAUAUUGCACAAUGGGCGCAAGCCUGAUGCAGCCAUGCCGCGUGUAUGAAGAAGGCCUUCGGGUUGUAAAGUACUUUCAGCGGGGAGGAAGGGAGUAAAGUUAAUACCUUUGCUCAUUGACGUUACCCGCAGAAGAAGCACCGGCUAACUCCGUGCCAGCAGCCGCGGUAAUACGGAGGGUGCAAGCGUUAAUCGGAAUUACUGGGCGUAAAGCGCACGCAGGCGGUUUGUUAAGUCAGAUGUGAAAUCCCCGGGCUCAACCUGGGAACUGCAUCUGAUACUGGCAAGCUUGAGUCUCGUAGAGGGGGGUAGAAUUCCAGGCGUAGCGGUGAAAUGCGUAGA
RNAcentral lists this ribosomal RNA (697 nucleotides) under uncultured bacterium. RNAcentral describes it as "bacterial SSU rRNA". It matches the Rfam family "Bacterial small subunit ribosomal RNA", at positions 8 to 694 of the family's 1533-position model. The record is from RNAcentral.